Dermacentor silvarum is the source of this 380-nucleotide long non-coding RNA. RefSeq lists it as uncharacterized. Lineage: Eukaryota; Metazoa; Arthropoda; Arachnida; Ixodida; Ixodidae. The record is from RefSeq and is a predicted model, not a curated record. The transcript has 3 exons.
UUUCACCAGCGACAUGCUAUUUCACAAAUUCAACGGCUGGUGAGAUAUCAAGAAACUGUACUAUGCUUUGUACCAAUGGCACAUCGCAGUGGAAUAGCACUUCCGCAGACAAUGCUACAUGUUACCAUAGUUACAGUGAGUCAACACGCGAUGAUGGAGAAUUCAGAAUCUACAACUGCAGUUUGGGUUCCUGCGUCAACGGCAGUUGCAUCCCAAAUGAUGAAUGCGCUGAGUGCUGGUAUAGGAUACAAGCUGAAGCAUGAUGUAUUCGCUGCAAGUGCUGACAGCACCACGAGUGAAGAACACCGGCACUUCCAUUUGGCGUUUAGGCUUAAUAAGGUCAUCUAGAAGUAGUUUGCAGUGGUUGUGCUUUGGUAAAA